GCCCUCUCAGGGUCGCAUCUGGAGAGUUUCCAGUACUCUACCGGUCUCGACUAUGGGAGGGAGAGUCAAGCAGAGGCAUGCCCAUUCCAUUGCUAGCUUGGGCAGCGGCUAGCGAAUGGAAGGAAGGCAAUCUGCUACAAGU
Small nucleolar RNA from Ornithorhynchus anatinus (platypus), 142 nucleotides. The record is from RefSeq and is a predicted model, not a curated record. NCBI's taxonomy places the organism in Eukaryota, Metazoa, Chordata, Mammalia, Monotremata, Ornithorhynchidae.